UACGAAGGGGGCUAGCGUUGCUCGGAAUCACUGGGCGUAAAGCGCACGUAGGCGGCUUGUUAAGUCAGGGGUGAAAUCCUGGAGCUCAACUCCAGAACUGCCUUUGAUACUGGCGAGCUUGAGUUCGGGAGAGUGAGUGGAACUGCGAGUGUAGAGGUGAAAUUCGUAGAUAUUCGCAAGAACACCAGUGGCGAAGGCGGCUCACUGGCCCGAUACUGACGCUGAGGUGCGAAAGCGUGGGGAGCAAACAGG
RNAcentral lists this ribosomal RNA (252 nucleotides) under uncultured bacterium. RNAcentral's name for it is "partial 16S ribosomal RNA". It matches the Rfam family "Bacterial small subunit ribosomal RNA", at positions 524 to 776 of the family's 1533-position model. The record is from RNAcentral.